GUUAUCCUACGGGACGCAGCAGUGGGGAAUAUUGCACAAUGGGGGGAACCCUGAUGCAGCGACGCCGCGUGAGUGAAGAAGUAUUUCGGUAUGUAAAGCUCUAUCAGCAGGGAAGAAAAUGACGGUACCUGACUAAGAAGCCCCGGCUAACUACGUGCCAGCAGCCGCGGUAAUACGUAGGGGGCAAGCGUUAUCCGGAUUUACUGGGUGUAAAGGGAGCGUAGACGGCAGCGCAAGUCUGGAGUGAAAUGCCGGGGCCCAACCCCGGAACUGCUUUGGAAACUGUGCAGCUCGAGUGCAGGAGG
This 305-nucleotide ribosomal RNA is filed under the name uncultured bacterium. Its description in RNAcentral is "bacterial SSU rRNA". It matches the Rfam family "Bacterial small subunit ribosomal RNA", at positions 333 to 655 of the family's 1533-position model. The record is from RNAcentral.